CCUACGGGGGGCAGCAGUGGGGAAUAUUGCACAAUGGGGGAAACCCUGAUGCAGCGACGCCGCGUGAGCGAUGAAGUAUUUCGGUAUGUAAAGCUCUAUCAGCAGGGAAGAAGAUGACGGUACCUGACUAAGAAGCCCCGGCUAACUACGUGCCAGCAGCCGCGGUAAGACGUAGGGGGCAAGCGUUAUCCGGAUUUACUGGGUGUAAAGGGAGCGUAGACGGCGUGUCAAGCCAGAUGUGAAAGCCCCGGGCUCAACCCCGGGACUGCAUUUGGAACUGUGUGGCUGGAGUGUCGGAGAGGCAGGCAGAAUUCCUGGUGUAGCGGUGAAAUGCGUAGAGAUCAGGAGGAACACCAGUGGCGAAGGCGGCCUGCUGGACGAUGACUGACGUUGAGGCGCGAAAGCGUGGGGAGCAAACAGGAUUAGAUACCCCUGUAGUC
RNAcentral lists this ribosomal RNA (440 nucleotides) under uncultured bacterium. Its description in RNAcentral is "partial 16S ribosomal RNA". It matches the Rfam family "Bacterial small subunit ribosomal RNA", at positions 338 to 795 of the family's 1533-position model. The record is from RNAcentral.